CAAGUAUCAGGAGGCUCCUGUAAGGAGAUCAAGCCACUGACAGAGCAAGAAUUUGAGUUGUAAUGCUCAGAGGAGGGAUUCCUAACUCUAGAGCUAUGCGGCAGAAAACUGCCAGGGGACCCAGCGAAGGCUAACACCGUUUCCUUGAAAUGGUCUCUGUUAGAAGGGGUUACACGAGCUACUGCUUCAUAGCAGGGGAAAAGGCCAACAAGAUAUGAGAAAUAAUGGCUUUAUGUUACCAAGGGAAAAAAGCCCCAGGACCCUGCUCCUCAUGAGGCUGAAUGUUCUCCAGCUGUUUCUGCCCAGGGCAUAACUACCCAGAUGGAUGCUGCUUGGAUAGGUGCUUGAAGUUGCCUAAGUCAGUUGUCAACCUGAGCUUGUAAACCCUGCUGAGAGAUGGCCUUAUGAGAUGAUGCAUGUUUGAAGUGCUUUAAAUAGACUUGCAAACUAUACAGAGAAGGAGAAGGAAGGCUCCCUUGCUUGCAAAACUCCAUAUAUUACUGCUGAUCUUUCUUUUUGCUAGGGAGCAGCCUUGGACAAUUCAGCAUGACUUCUAUAGGAAGAGACCUCUGAAGGACAUGGGGUGCAAUCCCCUGCUCAAAGGAGAGUCAUGUAGCUGGUUUCACAAGGCCAUGUGCAGCUGGGUUUUAACUGUCUUCAAACAUGGAGAUUCCACAACCUUUUGGGACAACCUCUUCAAUAUUUGGUUAUGGUAAAAAUAUGUUCUUCACAUCAAGUUGGACUUUCUUUUGUUCCACAUUGAGUUUGUUGUCUUUUCUUCUAUCCAUG
Gallus gallus (chicken) is the source of this 789-nucleotide long non-coding RNA. NCBI's taxonomy places the organism in Eukaryota, Metazoa, Chordata, Aves, Galliformes, Phasianidae. The record is from Ensembl.